RNAcentral lists this ribosomal RNA (76 nucleotides) under uncultured bacterium. Its description in RNAcentral is "partial 16S ribosomal RNA". It matches the Rfam family "Bacterial small subunit ribosomal RNA", at positions 278 to 354 of the family's 1533-position model. The record is from RNAcentral.
GAUGCGUAGCCGACUGAGGGUGGAUACGGCCACAUUGGGACUGAGACACGGCCCAAACUCCUACGGGAGGCAGCAG